This 496-nucleotide ribosomal RNA is filed under the name uncultured bacterium. Its description in RNAcentral is "partial 16S ribosomal RNA". It matches the Rfam family "Bacterial small subunit ribosomal RNA", at positions 29 to 507 of the family's 1533-position model. The record is from RNAcentral.
AUGAACGCUGGCGGCGUGCCUCAUACAUGCAAGUCGAGCGAACGGACGAGAAGCUUGCUUCUCUGAUGUUAGCGGCGGACGGGUGAGUAACACGUGGAUAACCUACCUAUAAGACUGGGAUAACUUCGGGAAACCGUAGCUAAUACCGGAUAAUAUUUUGAACCGCAUGGUUCAAAAGUGAAAGACGGUCUUGCUGUCACUUAUAGAUGGAUCCGCGCUGCAUUAGCUAGUUGGUAAGGUAACGGCUUACCAAGGCAACGAUGCAUAGCCGACCUGAGAGGGUGAUCGGCCACACUGGAACUGAGACACGGUCCAGACUCCUACGGGAGGCAGCAGUAGGGAAUCUUCCGCAAUGGGCGAAAGCCUGACGGAGCAACGCCGCGUGAGUGAUGAAGGUCUUCGGAUCGUAAAACUCUGUUAUUAGGGAAGAACAUAUGUGUAAGUAACUGUGCACAUCUUGACGGUACCUAAUCAGAAAGCCACGGCUAACUGCGUG